This 414-nucleotide ribosomal RNA is filed under the name uncultured microorganism. Its description in RNAcentral is "bacterial SSU rRNA". It matches the Rfam family "Archaeal small subunit ribosomal RNA", at positions 459 to 872 of the family's 1478-position model. The record is from RNAcentral.
CAGCAGCCGCGGUAAUACCGGCGGCCCGAGUGGCGGCCACUAUUAUUGGGCUUAAAGCGUCCGUAGCCGGGUUGGUUAGUCUCCCGGGAAAUCUGGCCGCUUAACGGUCAGAAUUCCGGGAGAUACUGCCAGCCUAGGGACCGGGAGAGGCCGUGGGUAUUCCCGGAGUAGGGGUGAAAUCCUAUAAUCCCGGGAGGACCACCUGUGGCGAAGGCGCUCGGCUGGAACGCGUCCGACGGUGAGGGACGAAGGCCAGGGGAGCAAACCGGAUUAGAUACCCGGGUAGUCCUGGCUGUAAACGAUGCGGACUUUGUGUCGGACAAGCUAUGAGCUUGUCCGGUGCCGGAGGGAAACCGUUAAGUCCGCCGCCUGGGGAGUACGGCCGCAAGGCUGAAACUUAAAGGAAUUGGCGGG